Molecule: non-coding RNA, 1495 nt
Organism: Rattus norvegicus (Norway rat)
Lineage: Eukaryota; Metazoa; Chordata; Mammalia; Rodentia; Muridae
Source: RefSeq, a predicted model, not a curated record
UUUUAACAUGGAUUCUGCACUACUAGGUUAAGAUUUUAGAAUCCACAAAUGACAAAGCCAUAUAGACUCCUUCCUAUUCUUAUGAACCUACUGAAGUAGAAGAUUCACUGGACUUCAAGCCACUCCUCUCCCAGCCCAUGUCAUGAACUUUAUGUUUGGACUGAAUAAAGAAACAUGGUAAAACAUCCAAAACCCUCAAAUCUGGCCAUGGAAACACUGGAAGGUAGAUAUUAGAGAACUGCUAUCUAAUGCCACUGCAGAACCACAUUAUAUAGUCUAUGUUGUCCUUUCCUUUACUAAUGUCAGGUAAUUUUUGGAUAAAAUAAGGAUUUAGGAGUUUAUCAUUUAAGUAGAUACAGAAUAUUUACACUAUUAUAUUCACUUUAGAACUGGGCCCCCUUUUUUCUAAAAUCAGAGCAAAAAAUGGAAUAGGAUAAUAGAACAUUGGAGUACACAUUCAGCAAUAUAUAUAAAGUCCACUAUCAAGGAAUGUACAAUAACAAAAUGUAAUAAAAUAUUCACUCAAUUAAAGGUCUGUAGGGAAAAUAUUGGCCUUUAGAAAAGAGAGAUAUCUGAGGAAAUUGAACUAUAGGCCAGAGGAAUGGAACUGGGAAUAAAAUUAUUAUCCAGUAGAAUCUCCUGCACUCCAUAUUCCUAGAUCUUAGAGACCCAAGCCAUGCCUCUGGCUAACUUUCCCCAUUCAGAGCAUGUGACCAUUAGUGGAGCAGAGAUAAGUCUCUACCUUAAGAGAGAUUGAGUACAUAAAGGUUUCCAGUGUGUCACAGGAGACAUACCUGGAAAGGACACCUUCGAAUCUGGUAAAUGUAAGGAAAGCUGUUUAGCAUGUAGGAGAUGGCAGUUCUCAGUGACAUCAUAAAUAGGACCUCCAUGACAAAUUUAUUGUAACUAGGAGAGCCCUAGCUUCUUCUGUGAUGUAACAAUUACUGUCCUGACAGGAACUGCCUCUCACAUAUUCCCUCAGUAACUCUCCGGUUUGCUAAUUGGCCACUAAUUCAGAGUAAACAGCCAUUUGGGAGUGAGAACAAAAAGGAUAAAGAGAUCAGAGAUGGGGAGAAAGAAGCUGACCUUCUGUCUUUGUAUGAAAUAAAAGGAAAAAUAAGUGGUACUUUGACAAGUUCAGGGAGCCCUUGGAAGGGUUGGAGUGGUAUCGCUGAAGAGAUAGACUUGAUCUGAGACUUACACAUAUGGGAAUCAAGAGCUGGAAGCUUCACAGAAGCAUCUGGACUUCCCUGUUCUUAUGGUUCCUGGAUGUCAAAGAAGAAAAAGGUCCUAAGGAAGGAGGUAAAGACAAGUAUUGGGUCCUCAGGUCAGAGUAAACUCCUCCAAGCUUUGGAUACCUAUAGUGCAUUUUGUGUCUGACACGGAUAUCUCGGAGAAAGAAGUGCUUCUAGUUGAGACUUCAUCAUCUUUGUCUUACUACAAGUAUUACUCUGAAUACCAAUUUAGAUUUCUGAGUAAAUAACUGUGAUUAGUU